AUGCAGCCUGAUAACACCUUCCCUCAGGCCUGCAGGGUUGUACCACUUGCUUCUUGACCUGGGUCUUCUCUGAUGUGGGAUGUUUCCAUAACUACAAAGUGAAAGUAGAGAAGGGGUUUCACCGUGGUCUCAAUCUCCUGACCUCGUGAUCUGCCCGCCUCGGCCUCCCAAAGUGCUGGGAUUACAAGCGUGACCCACCGCGCCCCGCCUGGAAAACUUUCAGUGAUCACCCAAGACCAUACUAUCUGAAUACAGUGCAUUAAAGGAGGUGCAGAGACUGAAGAUCUGCAUUAAGCAGCAAGUACUUCAGCCCAGGUCCAUGUUCUACGCUCUAUGCAAAUUUCAAAGCUACAUUUCUGGGACCCUUGGCAGGGUGCUCAGGCCAAGCGAGGAUACUGGGUAGAGUCACAAAUUACCCAUGUACUUCCUUUACAUUUGCUUCCACCAGGACUUUAAUUCAGUUUAAAUCAGUUCAAGGUGAAUAUCAAGGGAAACACUGAAGAGUAAAAGAAGUAACAAGAGAGUGUGGUGGGAGUUGUGUACCAAAAGGUAACAAAGACUGCUCUACCCAAUUGCCUUUGUGGAGUGAUGAUGCAUCUGUUGUGUGUGUGUAUGUGGGUUGUACUUUUUUCCUAUACUAUGUGUUGAAGAGGAGGGACUGGGCUGGCCAUUGAGGGAGUGGCCCAAUUGGCAUAUGCUGUGUGCACGGCCAUUCAGCAGGAGAGGGAAUAGCCAGUGAUGGAUCACCUUGACAACAGAGCCAGAAGGCUUCCAGGGUCUUCACAGGCUGGUGGCACCAUGCUAAAUAUACUGUAAUCUAAUACCUGCAACAUCUGUGCAGCCUCAGAAAACUGAUUUUGGCUACAGCUUGAGGAGGACUACCUUCUGAGACACAUUCACAUUAAAUAAAUUCAUAAGCCUGAUGAAGAUAAUUUGAAGGCCAAUUCAUUCUCUUCAGUUCUCUUCAAAGGCUGACAAUAUUUGCUCUACUCCACAUGAUCUUUCUGAACUGACCUCCUGCUACCCACCUCAUGCACCUUGCUUGAGCUACCCUGACCCCGUGCUCUUCCUCAAACACACCAGACAUGCUCACUCUAUCCAGGGUACUUUCCCUUAUUUAUCCUUACAUCUUGCUCCCUCAGCUCCUUUUGGACUUCUCAGUGAAGCUUUAUUCACAUCCUUGUUUAAAAUGCAACAUCAGAGGAGUCACAUCAGCAAGAUGACUGAAUCUGAGGUCCCAGGCUUCACUUUCUGCCACAGAUAUUUCAGCUAGCAAUUAUCCUCAGAUGAAAAGAACUUUGUGAAAACCCAAAAACUUAGGACUAAGACUGAGUGUAAACCAUAGAACUAAAUAAAAUUAUAUCAUAAGAUAAGAGGAAUGAUUUCACUUUGACUACAUCAUCAUUUCCCUCCUUCAAGACAACACGACACAUAGCGAAGAUCCCCUGAAUCGACAGUUUCCAUAGUGAGUAAAGAGCUCUGGAGGUAGUCAUCCAGCUUCUCAGUAUUCAGAGACACUUCUCAGGGAGCUCGCCCCCAUCUCACCUCAAAGGGAACACUAGGUGUAACAAUGGGACUAGACCACCUGGGAUCAGAUAGAAACACCAAAAGGAGGCUCAAGGAUCUUGAUGAUAGCCCUGUGUUUCUGCCGUUGAUGGCAUCCCAGCCAACAGCAGAGCUCACCCACAAAGCCAAGCUGGUGGAUCCCAGAAGUAUAGCAGGACGUUCAAGCUGGCUAGAGCCCUAGGCAGCCAGCCUCCAUACCCAGCCUUGGAGCCUACACCAGAUCCCCACCCAGGCAAGGAGACACCAGCCACAACACAUUUCUGUUGAGCGUAGG
This 1840-nucleotide long non-coding RNA is filed under the name Homo sapiens (human). RNAcentral describes it as "HSALNT0140262". The record is from RNAcentral. Lineage: Eukaryota; Metazoa; Chordata; Mammalia; Primates; Hominidae.